AUUGAACGCUGGCGGCAGGCCUAACACAUGCAAGUCGAACGGUAACAGGAAGCAGCUUGCUGCUUUGCUGACGAGUGGCGGACGGGUGAGUAAUGUCUGGGAAACUGCCCGAUGGAGGGGGAUAACUACUGGAAACGGUAGCUAAUACCGCAUAACGUCGCAAGCCCAAAGAGGGGGACCUUAGGGCCUCUUGCCAUCGGAUGUGCCCAGGUGGGAUUGGCUAGUAGGUGGGGUAACGGCUCACCUAGGCGACGAUCCCUAGCUGGUCUGAGAGGAUGACCGGCCACACGAGAACUGAGACACGGUCCAGACGCCUACGAGAGGCAGCAGUGGGGAAUAUUGCACAAUGGGCGCAAGCCUGAUGCAGCCAUGCCGCGUGUAUGAAGAAGGCCUUCGGGUUGUAAAGUACUUUCAGCGGGGAGGAAGGGAGUAAAGUUGAUACCUUUGCUCAUUGACGUUACCCGCAGAAGAAGCACCGGCUAACUCCGUG
RNAcentral lists this ribosomal RNA (490 nucleotides) under uncultured bacterium. RNAcentral describes it as "partial 16S ribosomal RNA". It matches the Rfam family "Bacterial small subunit ribosomal RNA", at positions 30 to 507 of the family's 1533-position model. The record is from RNAcentral.